UCACGGGUGGUCUAGUGGUUACGAUGCCUACCUUUCAUUUUAUGAUAUCGUGGGUGACCGAGGUUCGAGUCCUCGCCUGUGGC
Molecule: non-coding RNA, 83 nt
Organism: Mycena galericulata
Lineage: Eukaryota; Fungi; Basidiomycota; Agaricomycetes; Agaricales; Mycenaceae
Source: the annotation of a GenBank genome assembly